UACGUAGGUGACAAGCGUUGUCCGGAUUUACUGGGCGUAAAGAGCGCGCAGGCGGUCGUUCAAGUCGAGUGUGAAAGCCCCCGGCUCAACUGGGGAGGGUCACUCGAUACUGAUCGACUCGAAGGCAGGAGAGGGAAGUGGAAUUCCCGGUGUAGUGGUGAAAUGCGUAGAUAUCGGGAGGAACACCAGUGGCGAAGGCGGCGACCUGGACGGACACUGACGCUGAGACGCGAAAGCGUGGGGAGCAAACAGG
Molecule: ribosomal RNA, 253 nt
Filed under: uncultured prokaryote
Description: partial 16S ribosomal RNA
Rfam family: Bacterial small subunit ribosomal RNA
Source: RNAcentral